Long non-coding RNA from Nerophis ophidion (straightnose pipefish), 1565 nucleotides. RefSeq lists it as uncharacterized. The transcript is spliced from 2 exons. The record is from RefSeq and is a predicted model, not a curated record. Lineage: Eukaryota; Metazoa; Chordata; Actinopteri; Syngnathiformes; Syngnathidae.
UACGCAUGCCUGCGUUUCACCAAUCACAUGCAGUCACGGGUGACGUUGGACCAAUCAAACAGAGCCAGGCGGUCACAUGACCGUCACACGUAAAACCUGACUUAAGCAAGUUGAACAACUUAUUCGGGUGUUACCAUUUAGUGGUCAAUUGUACGAAAUAUGUACUGAACUGUGCAAUCUACUAAUAAAAGUUUCAAUCAAUCAAUCAAUCAAAAGUGCAAAGGAAAAAAAUCCACUUUUUAUUUCAACCGUACUUCCCGUCAAAAGCCUAAAGACUGAUCGCACAGUUCCUGUCUUCACAAUAAAAGCGCCACUCCAUUGCGCCUGCGCUAACAAAACAAGAGUCUCCGAAACCCAGCGCAAACAAGCGAGCAAGCUACCGAGUUUGCCGCCAAUGUAUUUCUUGUAAAGUGUAUAAAAACGAAUAUGGAAGCUGGACAAAUAAGGUGCCAAAAACCAACGACUUUCAUGUGGUAUUAGACAGAAAAGAGGAACUUUUUUUCUCCUCCAUUUGAAAACGUGGACGUUAGUUCCAAUCAUUGCAAGUCAUCAGAAUCAGAGUCGGGACCCGGGAUGGACCGCUCGCCUGUGCAUCGGUGGGGACAUCUCUGCCCUGCUGACCUGUCUCCGCUUGGGAUGGUCUCCUGCUGGCCCCACCAUGGAGGGGACUCUCGCUACUACAUUGGAUCCACUAUGGAAUGGACUUUCACCGUUACGUUGGAUCUACUAUUGACUGGACUUUCACAAUAUCAUGUUAGACCCGCUCGACAUCCAUUGCUCUUGGUCUCCCCUAUGUGGUCCUCUCCAAGAUUUUUCAUAGUGAUUGUCACCCACUGGGGUGAGUUUUUCCUUGCCCUUUUGUGGGCUCUGUAUCGUGGAUGUCGUUGUGGCUUGUGCAGCCCUUUGAGACACUUGUGAUUUAGGGCUAUAUAAAUAAACAUUGAUUAAUUGAUUGAUUGAUUGAUUCCAAGUAAACGAUUAUUUGCAAAAAAAUAUUUUGUUUCUCAAUUCAAACAUUAAAUAUAUUUGUCACAAAGUGUUGCUGACAAACCCCAAGAUGCAAACACGGCAGGCUUGGUGCAGGAAAACAUGAUUUAAUGUCUGAAAAUUAAGAAAAUACACAAACCAUGAACCAGAAACAGCCAAACUGUCAUGUCUUUUUGAUCAUGUCUUGUUUGGCCUUGUUCUGUUGACCUUUGGACUCAAGUUCCUGUUUUUUUUCACUCCCUUGUUUUGCUGCCAUGGUUGCAAAUUGCGUUCACCUGUCUCUGAUUAGUGUUCGGCCGCUCACCUGCUACCCGAGCACUAAUCAGAGGCAUUAUUCAAGCCUGCCAUUGCCAGUCAGUAGGCCUGGCGUCAUUGUGUUCUUUUCUUGCUCUGUGCUGACUUGUUUAAUGCUUUGGCAUAGUUGCGUUCUUCAUGCCAUGCCAAGUAAGUUUUGUUUGAUUUAUGUUCAUAGUCUGUUUAAGUGUUAGUUUUGUUCCUUAGCCCAAGUUGUGCCUCCGCUGUGAGUGCUUUUUGUUUGUAUCUUUUUUAGUUCAAAUUAAAUCAUGUUUUUACCUAAA